GUUCUCGUGGUGUAGUGGUUAUCAUACUCUCUUAGGGUGAUCUAACAUCUUGAGCUUUGCCUCCAACGGUCUCUGGUUCGCCAGAGAUCGAGCUUGGGAGUGGCCCCGGGUUCAAAUCCCGGCGAGGACC
RNAcentral lists this transfer RNA (130 nucleotides) under Trichosporon asahii var. asahii CBS 2479. RNAcentral describes it as "tRNA-Pro". The record is from RNAcentral. RNAcentral also lists the same sequence under 1 other name. Lineage: Eukaryota; Fungi; Basidiomycota; Tremellomycetes; Trichosporonales; Trichosporonaceae.